UUGCACAUAAAGUCUGAUAAUUAGCAGAAGCAUCUCCCAGUCUUAUGUCCAAAACCAUCAAAGCUUUACUAAUUAAACUUUCCUUAAAAUGUCUGCUUUCAUUUGUUUGGGCUUCUUGGCCUUCCAACACCUCCAGGCCUGGGACUAGAGCAGAACUAGUAUCCAGAACACCCCCACUUGGGUCUGAGGCCAUCCUCAAUCCCCCUACAGGAGCUCCAACACAUAGGAGUUAUAGGGAGAGGUUAUAUGGAGUAAUAGGUGGAGAUAUAUGGAAUAAUAGUAGGAGUUAUAGAGAGAGCUUAUAUGGAGUAAUAGGAGGAGUUAUAGAGAGAGGUUAUAUAGGAGUAAUAGGAGGAGUUAUAGUGAGAGUUUAUAUGAAGUAAUAGGUGGAGAUAUAGAGAGAGGUUAUAUGGAGUAAUAGGAGGAGUUAUAGGGAGAGGUUAUAUGGAGUAAUAGGAGAAGUUAUAGAGAGAGGUUAUAUGGGGUAAUAGGAGGAGAUAUAGAGCGAGGUUAUAUGGAGUAAUAGGAGGAGAUAUAGGGAGAGGUUAUAUGGAGUAAUAGGAGAAGUUAUAGGGAGAGGUUAUAUGGAGUAAUAGGAGGAGAUAUAGGGAGAGGUUAUAUGGAGUAAUAGGAGGAGAUAUAGGGAGAGGUUAUAUGGAGUUACAGGAGGAGUUAUAGAGAGAGGUUUUAUGAAGUAAUAGGAACUGGUAUGGAGCGAGGGUUUAUAUGGAGUAAGAGGAUGAAGAAUAGAGGAUAUAGCGAGUUUAAAAUGAGUAAUUGCAGGAGUUAUAUAGAGAUAUUAUACAAGAAAUAGGAUAAAUUAUAGGGAGAGGUUAUAGGGAGUAAUAGGAGGAGUUAUAGAGAGGAGUUAUAUGGAGUAAUAGGAGGAGUUAUAGAGAGAGGUUAUAUGGAGUAAUAGGAGGAGUUAUAGGGAGAGGAAGGAGUAAUAGGAGGAGUUAUAGGGAGAGGUUAUAUGGAGUAAUAGGAGGAGUUAUAGGCAGAGGUUAUAUGGAGUAAUAGGAGGAGUUAUAGAGAGAGGUUAUAUGGAGUAAUAGUAGGACUUUUUUUUAUUAAAUUUUCUUACAACAAA
Non-coding RNA from Pelobates cultripes (western spadefoot toad), 1090 nucleotides. NCBI's taxonomy places the organism in Eukaryota, Metazoa, Chordata, Amphibia, Anura, Pelobatidae. The record is from the annotation of a GenBank genome assembly.